Molecule: ribosomal RNA, 1348 nt
Filed under: metagenome
Description: bacterial SSU rRNA
Rfam family: Bacterial small subunit ribosomal RNA
Source: RNAcentral
AGAGUUUGAUCAUGGCUCAGAUUGAACGCUGGCGGUAUGCUUAACACAUGCAAGUCGAACGGUAACAGGCAAAGCUUGCUUUGCGCUGACGAGUGGCGGACGGGUGAGUAACGCGUGGGAAUCUGCCUUAUAGUGGGGGAUAGCCCGGAGAAAUCCGGAUUAAUACCGCAUACGCCCUACGGGGGAAAGCUGGGGAUCUUCGGACCUGGCGCUAUUAGAUGAGCCCGCGUUAGAUUAGUUAGUUGGUAGGGUAAUGGCCUACCAAGCCGACGAUGGGUAGCCGGCCUGAGAGGGUGAACGGCCACAAGGGGACUGAGACACGGCCCUUACUCCUACGGGAGGCAGCAGUGGGGAAUAUUGGACAAUGGACCAAAAGUCUGAUCCAGCAAUUCUGUGUGCACGAUGAAGGUCUUCGGAUUGUAAAGUGCUUUCAGGUGGGAAGAAGAAAGUGACGGUACCACCAGAAGAAGCGACGGCUAAAUACGUGCCAGCAGCCGCGGUAAUACGUAUGUCGCAAGCGUUAUCCGGAAUUAUUGGGCGUAAAGCGAGUCUAGGCGGCUUGUUAAGUCAGAUGUGAAAAUGCGGGGCUCAACUCCGUAUUGCGUUUGAAACUGGCAGGCUAGAGUACUGGAGAGGUGGGCGGAACUACAAGUGUAGAGGUGAAAUUCGUAGAUAUUUGUAGGAAUGCCGAUAGUGAAGACAGCUCACUGGACAGAUACUGACGCUAAAGCUCGAAAGCGUGGGGAGCGAACAGGAUUAGGUACCCUGGUAGUCCACGCCGUAAACGAUGUUCACUGGGUGUAGGGGGUCGAACCUCUGUGCCGAAGCUAACGCGAUAAGUGAACCGCCUGGGGAGUACGCACGCAAGUGUGAAACUCAAAGGAAUUGACGGGGACCCGCACAAGCGGUGGAGCAUGUGGUUUAAUUCGACGCAACGCGAGGAACCUUACCAGCACUUGACAUACAACGAACUCGUCAGAGAUGACUUGGUGCCGCUUCGGUGGAACGUUGAUACAGGUGGUGCAUGGCUGUCGUCAGCUCGUGUCGUGAGAUGUUGGGUUAAGUCCCGCAACGAGCGCAACCCCUAUCGUAUGUUACCAUCAUUAAGUUGGGGACUCAUGCGAGACUGCCUGCGACGAGCAGGAGGAAGGUGGGGAUGACGUCAAGUCAUCAUGCCCCUUAUGUGCUGGGCUACACACGUGCUACAAUGGUUGGUACAGAGAGCAGCAAUACGGCGACGUGGAGCAAAUCUCAGAAAGCCAAUCUUAGUUCGGAUCGCAGUCUGCAACUCGACUGCGUGAAGUUGGAAUCGCUAGUAAUCGCGAAUCAGCAAUGUUGCGGUGAAUAC